This 363-nucleotide long non-coding RNA is filed under the name Heterocephalus glaber (naked mole-rat). RNAcentral describes it as "lncRNA (ENSHGLG00100038383.1)". Lineage: Eukaryota; Metazoa; Chordata; Mammalia; Rodentia; Bathyergidae. The record is from RNAcentral.
GCUCGGGCUGCUGGCUGCAGUAACAUGCUUUUGGGUGCAGCUUUGCAGUUCUGGGCGGGCAUCAAAUAAUCAAAUCUAGGACCUUACAUGCUAGGCAAGCACUCUACUACUGAGCUACAUCGCCUGCCCAGAUCCUGCAUUUUUAAUAAGAUCUCAAGUAGCGCUGGGGCUGGAGAAUGUUCUGUGAUGGUGGAAACCAACAUCUGCUCUGUUCAAUCCACUGGCCUCGCCUUUUGACAAGCUGGAGUAAGCCCCCUGGUCUGUGGCACUUUGUUACAGAGACCCCGGGAAAUGACUCAAGGCUCCUGUGCUCCUUUGCUCGCACCCUUCUUGUGCAAGGAAUGAUCAAAAAUAAGUCAACAC